This 71-nucleotide microRNA precursor is filed under the name Bos taurus (domestic cattle). Its description in RNAcentral is "microRNA bta-mir-2392 precursor". The record is from miRBase by way of RNAcentral. Lineage: Eukaryota; Metazoa; Chordata; Mammalia; Artiodactyla; Bovidae.
CUCCCUGGUGUCUCCAUUCCCAUCUUCAUCUGUGAGAACAAUGGAUGGAUGGGGGUGAGGGGUGCAGGGGG